UUGGACCAGAGACCAUCUGACAUAACAUCAGACAACAGGGAGUUUCAGGUAAACUUAGAUUUCACUUAAAUCCAAAGUCCUCAUUUUAUAGAUGAGAACACUGAGGUCCAGAGAGGCUGAGUGACUUGUCUUCUGAGGUGGAUAAAAUCAGUGGAAUAGCCUGUUGUGAUCUCCAGGUGUGACUGUUCAUUGGGUCUAGAGUUGGCCUCUAUGAUUCUCUAGUUACCUUUUAACCCACUUUGCUAUUUGAGGUUUCAAAUUAUAUUUUUGAUGUUUCUGGUACAGGGGGCAGCAUCUUCUACUAUGUGCAUCUACAUUGGAUGGCAGUGGAGCAACACAGAUUGUUUUCUGACAAAAAUCAGCCAAGUACUAGGAGAGGCAGGACUUUAGAAGUGGAGGAGAUGGAGAAGGAAGCUUAGGUUACUAUGGAGUGUGCAAAAAGGUCCUGUGGAUUUAGAUACCACCACACACAAAUGCUGUUGUUGGAAGGUACCUGCCCAGAUAAGGACUGCAUUUCCUCUAGCAUCCAGAUGGGACCAAAUGACUGCUGGCCAAUAGAAGUGAGUGGAAAGGACUGACUCCAGUUCCAGGUUGGGCCUCCAACUGCUCUGGGCACGUCGAUGGAACAGAACACCACCUCCACCCCAAUACCACCAAUUCAACUUUACAUGAAUUAUAAGCGAGAAAUAACUUGGACUGUGUUAAGUCAUUGAGUUUCUGGGGUUUAACUGUUAUUAUAGUUAAGAAUGACUUUAACUAAUAUAGUCAAUGACAUCUAACUGGAGUUAUGAAAUUCAAUUUCUACUUAGAGUAAUUGAAGCAAAGGUUGUGGGGGAGGGGAGGAGGGCAGCACACCAUGAAAUCAGAGAUCCCCAGUACGUGUUAGUUCAUCAGUCAAUCAGUCUUAAGGUCAGGGUGUAGUGUGGGCAGCAGUUGCCUCCCUCUCCCCACAGAACACCCUGAGAAUAGGAAGUUAGAGUAGUCG
RNAcentral lists this long non-coding RNA (985 nucleotides) under Homo sapiens (human). RNAcentral describes it as "long non-coding RNA NONHSAT155948.1". The record is from RNAcentral. Lineage: Eukaryota; Metazoa; Chordata; Mammalia; Primates; Hominidae.